RNAcentral lists this ribosomal RNA (462 nucleotides) under uncultured bacterium. Its description in RNAcentral is "partial 16S ribosomal RNA". It matches the Rfam family "Bacterial small subunit ribosomal RNA", at positions 28 to 507 of the family's 1533-position model. The record is from RNAcentral.
GACGAACGCUGGCGGCGUGCUUAACACAUGCAAGUCGAACGGUGAAGCCCUUCGGGGUGGAUCAGUGGCGAACGGGUGAGUAACACGUGAGCAACCUGCCCCUGGCCCUGGGACAACCACUGGAAACGGUGGCUAAUACCGGAUACGACCCGCCUCGGCAUCGAGUGUGGGUGGAAAGUUUUUCGGCUGGGGAUGGGCUCGCGGCCUAUCAGCUUGUUGGUGAGGUGAAGGCUCACCAAGGCGACGACGGGUAGCCGGCCUGAGAGGGCGACCGGCCACACUGGGACUGAGACACGGCCCAGACUCCUACGGGAGGCAGCAGUGGGGAAUAUUGCACAAUGGGCGAAAGCCUGAUGCAGCGACGCCGCGUGAGGGAUGACGGCCUUCGGGUUGUAAACCUCUUUCAGCUCCGAAGAAGCGAAAGUGACGGUAGGAGCAGAAGAAGCACCGGCUAACUACGUG